AGGCGACCCAAGACCGUCCGCGGAGGGUAGGCUCGCGAGCUGACACCGCCGCCUUGGUCCUGCCGCGGCUGGCCUUACAUAGGGCGCACGACCAGGGAAGGUUGCGGGCCUGGGCCGCAAGGCGCGCCCCGCUGGCAGGCAGAGCGGCGCCGGCGAAGGCGGAGCUGGGGCGGGACGCGAGGGCGCGGGGCGGGCCGGGAGUGCACCUGAGGCCCGGGCGGGGCCUGUCCUGGGGACCUGGCGAGGCCCGGCCUCUGCCAGCCAAGCCUGCUGGGGACGACCGAGGUAGCCCGGGCUCGGCUUAGGAAGGCAGCGGGACUCGAGGCCUUGGGGUCCGAGUCCGAACUCGCUCCUCUAGCGCCGGGCGGGGAGCGAGUGGGAGAGCGGCCGCGAAGCUCCAGUGUUGAAAACGCACCCCUCCCAGCUUUUUGCAAGGCCUACUUGGGGGCGGAGAGACAAGCAAGCUGUCAUGUUAUAAGCAGCCCUUUGAGGGGUCCAUGUGAUGUCAAGGAAUGAAGUCUCUAGCCAACAUUUAAUGAGGAACUGAGGCCCACCAACAACCUUGAGUGAGCUUGGAAGUAGCUCCUUCAGCAUCAGUUGGGUGUCGAGAUGACUACUGACAGCUUGACUGCAACUUCAUGAGAGUCUUCUGGACCAGAACCACUCAGUUAAGUGGCUCCCAGAUUCCUGAUCCUCAGAAACUCUGAGAAAUAAUGAAUGUUGGUUGUUUUAAAAUGGUAAAUUUUGAGGUAUUAUGUUAUGUGGCAAUAGAUAGCUAAUAUAUAAAUUAUUUGAAUCAAACAAUACGUUAAAUUAAAGCUCAGAAGAAUAAACAUCUGUAAUUCCUUAAUUUGUUUUCCCUUCUAUUCUACAGAAUAGAAUUUUACAGAUGAACCUUGUAGUUACUUGUGCAAUAAGAGACAGUAUGUUGUAUUGAUUAAGUGCAGAGCCUCUGGAUGUAUGAUAGAAGAAAGACCAAUAUUCAAUUGCUUUCUUCUUCAAUUCCAAGCUUGUGAGCUUGAGCAAAUUUUAAAAGUGUUUUAAGCCUCAGUUUCCUGGGAUGGUAGUGCUUAGCUCGAGCUCCUAGCAUAUAUUAACUACAAACUAAAUAUUAGCUAUAAUUAUUAGUUUUACUUUGAUUAUUGACUCUAAAUAAAUACCUUAAGAACUUUGUGUUCUCCACAGAUUUGGAUAUGUCUGGACGUUAUGUAGGCUGGAGUAGUCAGCAAUUACUUGCCUGAGGAAGGGAAGGCCUCCUCCUUUAAGAAAAGAAUAGGCUGGGUGCGGUGGCUCAUACUUGUAAUCCCAGCAUUUUGGGAGGCUGAGGAGGGUGGAUCACCUGAGGUCAGGAGUUUGAGACCAGCCUAAGGAACAUGGUGAAACCCUGUCUCUACUAAAAAUACAAAAAUUAGCCAAUUGUGGCACGCGCCUGUAGUCCCGGCUACUCAGGAGGCUGAGGUGAGAGGAUUGCCUGAGCCUGGGAGGUGGAGGUUGCAGUGAGCCGAGAUCGCGCCACUGCACUCCAGCCUGGGCAACAGAGUAAGACUCCGUCUCAAAAAAAAAAAAAAGAAAGAAAGAAAAGAGUAGAAGGCCCAAGCUUAGUCCAAUAUUAUAGCUUCAGCAUCAGAGUAGAGAAUGAUUCAGAGCAUCUGUCCAGUGUCUGCUGUAGAUCCCUCAAAUCCGUGUUUGGACGCUUCUGGUAAGGGGUGUAUGGCAGAUGCACCCGACAGAUGCACUUGGCAGCAAUAACUUAUGCAUACCUGAAGAAUGACCCUAUGGUCUAAGAAGAAUGUGUGUUCAGAGCUCCAAGCUAAGGAAUCUGGGAGUGGCCAACCCAGAUAUUUCAUUUCUUAUCUAUGACGAACUUCUGAACUGCUCCCACCCCCAGCCCAUCCUGUAGAAUGCAGGCCCUACGAGGCGAUCAAAGCCCUUUGUUUUAGGUUAAAUGAAGGUUGCCUGGUGGAGGUUGCUAGGGGAAAGGUGUUAAGUAAAAAUGUUAUAUAAACUGCAUGGUGUUUUUUGUUUGUUUUUGUUUUUUUGAGACAGAGUUUUUGCUCUUGUUGCCCAGGCUGGAGUGCAAUGGUGCAAUCUCGGCUCACUGCAACCUCCGCCUCCUGGGUUCAAGUGAUUCUGCUGUCUCAGCCUCCCAAGUAGCUGGGAUUACAGGUGCCCACCACCAGGCCCGGCUAAUUUUUUGUAUUUAGUAGAGUCAGGGUUUCCCCAUGUUGGUCAGCCUGGUCUCAAACUCCUGACUUCAGGUGAUCCACCUGCCUCAGCCUCCCAAAGCGCUGGGAUUACAGGUAUGAGCCACCACGCCUGGCCAAUUGCAUGCUUUUUACAAGGAGUUUUGGUUCUCCUGCCCAGCCCACUGCCACUGGACUGCCCUGUAUUGUAAGUCCCCUCAAUAAACCUUAUGUCUCAGUUUCUGGUUCUAGGUCUCUUCUUCAGCCUCUUGAACAUGGUGCCAUCCCUACUGAAGUCAAUGGGGUCUGACAUGACUAGGGGAACUUGAACAAAAUCUGAAAUAGCUGUUUUUUUCUUGCCAAAAUCACUGUAAGACAUUAUUUGCCUCAGCCCCAGAACAUUGAAUUAUAUGACCCAAGAGUGGAGAAACAGAGAAGUCUGUCUGUGUCAUCAGACAAUAUCCCAAGUGGGAUGUCAUCACCCCAAUGCAUAUUGGCAUUUGGGCAGAGUAGAGCAGCGUCAGCCUAGCAAGACUUGGCACAAUUCUGUUGGAUUGCACAAUAGAAUGAGAAAUCACAUUUCUGCUGUUAUGUGAUUCUGCAUUUUAACUCCAGUUUGUUUGGCCUGGACAGACAGGUAACUAGCCAUGAAGACAAUGGACCUUGAAACAUUCUGAAGACUAGAAAAAGUAUGUAAUAAAAUACUUUGAACAACUGUUUAAGGACUUAAAUGUCCAGACUGUUUCUUUAGAUGAGUGUAAUUUCCAAUGUGAAACCCCACAAUUCGGCUUCAAGAGGUACAGGACAGUUUUUGAAUUCCACAGAAAAAAUUUUGCAUUGCAACAAACUUGACCAUCCUAUUUGUGGUAGUAGAAAUGUAAAUUCAUUCCCCUCAGAGAUACCUGCAAAAAUGAAAUGUGAAAUAUUCUGCUUGCAUUUUAAAGACUGGUUAUUGCAUUCUAGAAUAGAUGGAAAAGACAUUAGUGAGGGCCAAUAUAGAAAUAUGAGUUUUCCCAAAAGACUUUUAUGUAUAUAUAUGACAUGGCAGGAAAAUUGGGUCACUAGUGGUUUUUACUUCUUCGUUCAUUUGGCAAACAUAUGAAUAGACUGAUGUGUGCCAAACACUGUUCCGAGUUCUGGGAACUGAGGAAAGAAACAAGCUAUCUGUUUUCAUGGAGCUCGUAUUUUACUUGGAGGAUGGAGAGGCUGACAAUAAACUUGUACAAAUAAAUACAAACUUCAAGUAGUGGUAAUUGCCAAGGUGAAAGAAAAGAGAGUAAUGGUAUAGAAUGACAGUCAUUGGGUAGCUGCUUUAGAUGAAUGGUAAGUGAACAUGUUUCUGAGAAAGUGAUAUCUGAGCUGAGAGGCAAAGGACGAGAAGGAAUCUGUCAUGUGAAGAUCUGGGAAGCAGGUGUACUAAGCAGAAGAGCAGCAAGUACAAAGACUGUGAGGUAAGGGAUGUGCUCGGGGUGACUAAGUAACGGAGAGAAGACCAGCGUGACUAGAACAUAGUGAUCAAAGUGAGUAAUGUUGGAACAUAAGUCAGAGACAUUGGCAGGAGGCCAGUUUUUAUGGAAGCCAAAUUGUCUAGUGCCUUGUAGAUAGUGGCAAGGAGUUUGGAUUUUAUUCUAGAUGGAACACUACCAGAAUAUUUUUUCUUUUUUGAGACAGGGUCUCACUGUCACCCAGGCUGGAGUGCAGUGGCAUGAUCUUGACUCUCUGCAACUUCUGCCUCCUGGGCUUAAGUGAUCCUCACACCUCAUCUUCCCCAGAAGCUAGGACUACACGCACCACACCUGGCUAAUUUUUGUAUUUUUUGUAGAGAUGGGAUUUUGCCAUGUUGCCCAGGCUGGUCUUGAAUGCUGCCCACUUUGGCCUCCCAAAGUGCUAGGAUUAUAGGUGUGGGCCACCGUGCCUGGCCUAUCAGAGUAUUUUCAGGCAGAGAAAAGCAUAAGGUCUUACUUCUAGCAUAAAAGGAACAUUCUGGCUGCUAUAUAGAGAAGGGACUGUAGAGGACAAGAAUGAAAGCAGGUUGACUGAUUAGAAAGCAUUGCAGCAUUAUAGGCAAGAGCUUAUGAUGGCCUGAACUAGAGUGGUAACUGUGGAAGAGAUAAAUGGAUGAAUUCAGAAUAUUUUUGGAGGAAAAAGGUGACAUGAUUUACUAUUGGAUGUGGGCAUGAGGGAAGGAAAUUAAGGAUGACUCCUGGAUUUUUAGCCUGAGCAACUUUAUAGCUUUUCAUGUUUGUUUUUGAAAUGGGGAGAUUUGAUGGGGUGGGGGUUUGGGAAAUUAAGAGUUUUUUAUUUUUAUUUUUUGCUUUUUAAAAAUUGUGGUGAAAUACACAUAACAUAAAAUUUACCAUUUUAACCACUCUUAAGGGCAUUAAGUACAUUCACAUUGUGCAACCAUCACCAUCAUCCAUCUGUAGAGAACUCUUUUCAUCUUGCAAAAUUGAAACUCUGUACCUAUUAAACACUAACUCCCCACUCCCCUCCUUACCCUAGCCCCGAAAACCCUUCUAUAAUACAGAAGUCUCUAUGAAUUUGACCACUCUCAUAAGUGGAAUCACAUAGUAUUUGUCCUUUUGUGACUCGCUUUUAUUGUCACUUAGCAUAAUGUCUUCAAGGUUCAUCCAUGUUGUAGCAUAUGUCAGAAUUUCCUUCCUUUUUAAGACUGAAUAAUAUGCCAUUAUAUAUGUAUACUACAUUUUGUUUACCCAUUCAUCCACUGAUGGACACUUGGGUUGCUUCCAUCUUUUGCCUGUUGUGACUAAUGCUGCUGUGAACAUGUAUGUACAAGUAUCUAUUUGAGUACUUGCUUUUAAUUCUUUGGGUAUAUACCCAGAAGUGGAAUUGCUGGAUCAUGUGGUAAUUCUAUGUUUAAUUUUUUUAAGGAAUUGCCAUACUGUUUUCCCCGGUAGCUGUACCAUUUUACAUUCCCACCAACAGUGCACAAGAGUUCCAGUUUCUCCACGUCCUCGCCAAUACUUGUUAUUUUCUGUGGUUUUGCUGUUGUUGUUGUUUUGUUUGUUUUUGUUUUUUUACAGAAGCUAUCCUAAUGGGUAUAAAGUGGUAUUUCAUUGUGGUUUUAUUUGCAUUUCCCUAAUUAUUAAUUAUGUUGAGCAUCUUUUCAUGUGCUUAUUGGCAAUUUAUAUAUUUUCUUUGGAGAAAUGUCUACUCAACUCUUUUGCCCAUUUUAAAAUCAGGUUUUUUUUUUGUUGUUGUUGAAUUGUAGGAGUUCUUUACAUAUUUGGGAUAUGAACCACUUAUCAGAUACAUGAUUUGCAAAUAUUUUCUCCCAUUCUAUGCCUUUUCACUAUUGAUUAUAUCCUUUUACGCACAGAAGUUUUACAUUUUUGAUGUAGCCCAAUUUUUCUAUUUUUUCUUUUGUUGCCUGUGCAAGAGUUUUAUUUUAAAUGCAAUUUUGGGAUGUCUAUUAGACAUCCAAGUCAAAAUGUCAAAUAGACGGCUGGAUAUAUGAGUCUGAAGGUCAUAAAAGAGAUCAGAAUGAGAUAUAAAUUAGGGAAUCAUUCACAUAUAGAUGGUAUUUAAGGCCAUGGGUCUGGACAGAAUCACCCAGGAGAGAAGUCAUAUAGGAACACAUAGGUUUCCCUAGGGAAUACAGUCAUCUUAGAGUAAAAUUCCAUCGAAGGAGAUCAGGAGGUCUUGGCUGAGUUAAAUUUGGAUAAUAUAAGUUAUUAACUAUGUUAAUGUGUUCUAAGCUAGAUGCCAGGUUAAGGCAGAAAUUAGGAGGUCCUGGGCAAGUAUCAAUUUGCUCUGCUAUUGUAUUAUUACAAGAAUAAUACUAACAAUAGUACAUGACCUCAUUUCAUCCUCACAAUAGCUUUACGCGAUUGAUAUUCUUGUCUUCACUUUACAGGCAAAGAAACAAAAGAGAAGUAAAGUAAUUUACCCAGUUGCUAUAGUUAGCAUGUGGUAGGUCCAUAUUAGAGGUCUGGUCUGUCUGCAUGAUGGUUAAUUUUAUGAGAUAGCAAGUAAAACAUUAUUUGUGUCUGUGUCUGUGUCUGUGAGGAUGUGUUCGGAGAGGUUCACAAGCAUUUGAAUCAGUAGACGGAGCAAAUAAGGUCCGCCCUCACCAAUGUGGGCAGGCAUCAUCCAAUUCACUGAGGACUCCUGCUCACACAGAACAAAAAGUCAGAGGAUGUGCCUAUAGUUCCAGCUUCUUGGAAGGCUGCGGCAGGAAGAUGCUGGGGCCCAGGAGUUUGAGGCCAGCCAGGGCAACAUAGCAAGACCUUUCUCUUUAAAAAAAUUUUUUUUGGCUGGGUGCAGUGGCUCAUGCCUGUAAUCCCAGCACUUUGGGAGGCCGAGGCAGGCGGAUCAUGAGGUCAGGAGAUCGAGACCAUCCUGGCUAACAUGGUGAAACCCCGUCUCUACCAAAAAUACAAAAAAUUAGCCGGGCGUUGUGGUGGGCACCUGUAGUACCCGCUACUCAGGAGGCUGAGGCAGGAGAAUGGAGUGAACCCCGGAGGCGGAGGUUGCAAUGAGUGGAGAUUGCACCACUGCACUCCAGCCUGGGCGACAGAUCAAGACUCCGUCUCAAAAAAAAAAAAAUUUUUUUUUAAGGCAUAGGAAGGGCAAAUUCUCUCAUUCUCUCUCUUCUUGAGCUGGGACAUCCAUUUUCUCCUGCCUUCAGGAAAUCAGAGCUCCAUGUUCUUGGAUCUCCCGACUCUGGGACUUACACCUUACCCUUUUCCCCUCAGUCUUUCAGACUUGGACUGAAUUACACCAUCACCUUUCCUGGUUCUCCAGCUUGCAGAUAGCAUGUCAUGGGACUUCUUAGCCUCUGUAAUCAUAUGAGCCAGUUCAUAUAGUAAAUCUCCUCCUAUUGAUCUAUACCUAUAUCUGUAAUCCUAUUAGUUGGGUUUCUUUGGAAAACUCUAAUACCCCCUUAUCCACAGUUUUUUUUUUUUUCUGCAGUUUCAGUUAUCUACGGCCAACUGGGUAAACCAAAUAGAUGCUCUUUACAAAUAUUUUUUAACUUCUUAAAAUAUCUCAUUGAGGAUUCCGUUCCAAGAUGGCCAAAUAGGAACAGCUCUGGUCUGCAGCUCCCAGUGUGAUCGACGCAGAAGACGGAUGAUUUCUGCAUUUCCAACUGAGGUACCUGGUUCAUCUUACUAGGACUGGUUGGACAGUGGGUGCAGCCCACGGAGGGUGAGCCGAAGCAGGGCAGGGCAUCGCCUCACCUGGGAAGCGCAAGGAGUCAGGGGAUUUCCUUUUCCUAGCCAAGGGAAGCCGUGACAGAUGGUACCUGGAAAAACGGGACACUCCUGCCCAAAUACUGCGCUUUUCCAAAGUCUUAGCAAAUGGCACACCAGGAGAUUAUAUCCUGUGCCUGGCUCGACAGAUCCUAUGUCCAUGGAGCCUUGCUCACUGCUAGUGCAACAGUCUGAGAUUGACCUGCAAGGCAGCAACCUGGCAUGGGGAGGGGCAUCCGCCAUUGCUGAGGCUUGAGUAGGUAAAUAAAGUGGCUGUGGAAGCUCGAACUGGGUGGAGCCCACCACAGCUCAGCAAGGCUGACUGCCUCUGUAGUCUCCACCUCUGGGGCAGGGCAUAGCUGAACAAAAAGCAGCAGAAACUUCUGCAGACUUAAACAUCCCUGUCUGACAGCUCUGAAGAGAGCAGUGGUUCUCCCAGGAUGGUGUUUUAGCUUGGAGAACAGACAGACUGCCUCCUCAAGUGGGUCCCUGACCCCCAUGUAGCCUAACUGGGAGACACCUCCCAGUAGCCGACUGACACCUCAUACAGGCAGGUGCCCCUCUGGGAUGAAGCUUCCAGAGGAAGGAUCACUCAGCAAUAUUUGCUGUUCUGCAAUAUUUGCUGUUCUGCAGCCUCUGAUGGUGAUACCCAGGCAAACAGGUCUGGAGUAGACCUCCAGCAAACUCCAACAGACCUGCAGCUGAGGGACCUCACUGGUAGAAGGAAAACUAACAAACAGAAAGAAAUAGCAUCAACAUCAACAAAAAGGACAUCCACACCAAAACCCCAUCUGUAAGUUACCAACAUCAAAGACCAAAGGUAGAUAAAACCACAAAGAUGGGGAGAAACCAGAGCAGAAAAGCUGAAAAUUCUAAAAACCAGAGCACCUCUUCUCCUCCAAAGGAUCACAACUCCUUGCCAGCAAUGGAACAAAGCUGGGUGGAGAAUGACUUUGACGAGCUGACAGAAGUGGACUUCAGAAGGUCAGUAAUAAUAAACUUCUCCCAGCUAAAGGAGGAUGUUCUAACCCAUCGCAAGGAAGCUAAAAACCUUGAAAAUAGAUUAGACGAAUGGCUAACUAGAAUAAACAGUGUAGAGAAGACCUUAAAUGACCUGAUGGAGCUGAAAACCAUGGCACGAGAACUUUGUGACACAUGCACAAGCUUCAAUAGCCGAUUCGAUCAAGAAAGGAUAUCAGUGAUUGAAGAUCAAAUUAAUGAAAUAACUCAAGAAGAUUAGAGAAAAAAGAGUAAAAGGGAACGAACAAAGCCUCCAAGAAAUAUGGGACUAUGUGAAAGACCAAAUCUACGUUUGAUUGGUGUACCUGAAAAUGACAGGGAGAAUGGAACCAAGUUGGAAAACACUCCUCAGGAUAUUAUCAAGGAGAACUUCCCCAACUUAGCAAAGCAGGCCAACAUUCAAAUUCAGGAUAUACAGAGAAUGCCACAAAGAUACUCCUCAAGAAGAGCAAACCCAAGACACAUAAUUGGCAGAUUCACCAAGGUUGAAAUGAAGGAAAAAAUGUUAAGCGCAGCCAGAGAGAAAGGUCGGGUUACGCACAAAGGGAAGCCCAUCAGACUAACAGCGGAUCUCUCGGCAGAAACCCUACAAGCCCGAAGAGAGUGGGGGCCAAUAUUCAACAUUCUUAAAGAAAAGAAUUUUCAACCCAGAAUUUCAUAUCCAGCCAAACUAAGCUUCAUAAGUGAAGAAUAAAAUCCUUUCCAGACAAGCAAAUGCUGAGAGAUUUUGUCACCACCAGGCCUGCCCUAAAAGAGCUCCUGAAGGAAGCACUAAACAUGGAAAGGAAAAACCGGUACCAGCCACUGCAAAAAUAUGCCAAAUUGUAAAGACCAUCGAUGCUAUGAAGAAACUGCAUGAACUAACAAGCAAAAUAACCAGCUAACAUCAUAAUGACAGGAUCAAAUUCACACAUAACAAUAUUAACCUUAAAUGUAAAUGGGCUAAAUGCCCCAAUUAAAAGACACAGACUGGCAAAUUGGAUAAAGAGUCAAGACCCAUCCGUGUCCUGUAUUCAGGAGACCCAUCUCACGUGCAGAGACACACAUAGGCUCAAAAUAAAGGGAUGGAGGAAGAUCUACCAAGCAAAUGGAAAGCAGAAAAAAGCAGGGGUUGCAAUCCUAGUCUCUGAUUAAACAGACUUUAAACCAACAAAGAUCAAACGGGACAAAGAAGGCCAUUACAUAAUGGUAAAGGGAUCAAUUCAACAAGAAGAGCUAACUAUCCUAAAUAUAUAUGCACCCAAUACAGGAACACCCAGAUUCAUAAAACAAGUCCUUAGAGACCUACAAAGAAACUUAGACUCCCACACAAUAAUAAUGGGAGACUUUAACACCCCACUGUCAAUAUUAGACAGAUCAAUGAGACAGAAGGUUAACAAGGAUAUCCAGGACUUGAACUCAGAUCUGCACCAAGCAGACUUAAUAGACAUCUACAGACCUCUCCACCCCAAAUGAAGAGAGUAUACAUUCUUCUCAGCACCACAUCACACUUAUUCCAAAAUUGACCACAUAGUUGGAAGUAAAGCACUCCUUAGCACAUGUAAAGGAACAGAAAUCACAACAAACUGUGUCUCAGACCACAGUGCAAUCAAAUUAGAACUCAGGAUUAAGAAACUCACUCAAAACUGCACAACUGCAUGGAAACUGAACAAUCUGCUCCUGAAUGACUACUGGGUAAAUAACGAAAUGAAGGCAGAAAUAAAGACGUUCUUUGAAAACAAUGAGAGCAAAGACACAACGUGCCAGAAUCUCUGGAACACACUUAAAGCACGGUAUAUAGGGAAAUUUAUAGCACUAAAUACCCACAAGAGAAAGCAGGAAAGAUCAAAAUCAACACCCUAACAUCAUAAUUAAAAGAACUAGAGAAGCAAGAGCAAACAAAUUCAAAAGCUAGCAGAAGGCAAGAAAUAACUAAGAUCAGAGCAGAACUGAAAGAGAUAGAGACACAAAAACUUCAAAAAAAUCAACGAAUCCAGGAGCUCGUUUUUUGAAAAGAUCAACAAAAUUGAUAGACUGUUAGCAAGACUAAUAAAGAAGAAAAGAGAGAAGAAUCAAAUCGAUGGUAUAAAAAGUGAUAAAGGGGAUGUCACCACCAAUCCCACAGAAAUACAAACUACCAUCAGAGAAUACUAUAAACACCUCUACACAAAUAAACUAGAAAAUCUAGAAGAAAUGGAUAAAUUCCUGGACACAUACAGCCUCCCAAGACUAAACCAGGAAGAAGUUGAAUCUCUGAUUAGACCAAUAACAGGCUCUGAAAUUGAGGCAGUAGUUAAUAGCCCACCAACCAAAAACAGUCCAGGACCAGACAGAUUCACAGCCAAAUUCUACCAGAGGUACAGAGGAGCUGGUACCAUUCUUUCUGAAACUAUUCCUAGCAAUAGAAAAGAGGGAAUCCUCCCUAAUUCAUUUUAUGAGGCCAGCAUCAUCCUGAUACCAAAGCCUGGCAGAGACACAACAAAAAAAAGAGAGGCCGGGCGCGGUGGCUCACGCCUGUAAUCC
Molecule: long non-coding RNA, 10918 nt
Filed under: Homo sapiens (human)
Lineage: Eukaryota; Metazoa; Chordata; Mammalia; Primates; Hominidae
Description: HSALNT0329527
Source: RNAcentral